RNAcentral lists this ribosomal RNA (1254 nucleotides) under metagenome. Its description in RNAcentral is "bacterial LSU rRNA". It matches the Rfam family "Bacterial large subunit ribosomal RNA", at positions 1658 to 2925 of the family's 2925-position model. The record is from RNAcentral.
UACAGGUGGAUGAGGAGAGAAUCCUAAGGCCGGCGGAAGAAGUAUUGCCAAGGAACUCGGCAAAAUGGCCCCGUAACUUAGGGAGAAGGGGUGCCUGCGAGAGCAGGCCGCAGAGAAUAGGCUCAAGCAACUGUUUAGCAAAAACACAGGUCUAUGCGAAGCCGAAAGGUGAGGUAUAUGGGCUGACGCCUGCCCGGUGCUGGAAGGUUAAGAGGAGAGGUUAGACGCAAGUCGAAGCUUUGAAUUUAAGCCCCAGUAAACGGCGGCCGUAACUAUAACGGUCCUAAGGUAGCGAAAUUCCUUGUCGGGUAAGUUCCGACCCGCACGAAAGGCGUAAUGAUUUGAGCGCUGUCUCGGCAAUACAUCCGGUGAAAUUGAAGUGCCAGUGAAGAUGCUGGCUACCCGCGACAGGACGGAAAGACCCCAUGGAGCUUUACUCCAGUUUGGCACUGGGGUCCGGUGUUGCAUGUACAGGAUAGGUGGGAGGCUGAGAGAUAGUGACGUCAGUUGCUAUGGAGCCGCUGUUGGGAUACCACCCUUGUGAUAUUGGGCUUCUAACCAGCCGCCGUGAACCGGCGGUGGGACAAUGCCAGGCGGGGAGUUUGACUGGGGCGGUCGCCUCCGAAAGGGUAUCGGAGGCGCCCAAAGGUUCCCUCAGAAUGGACGGAAACCAUUCGAAGAGUGCAAAGGCAGAAGGGAGCUUGACUGCGACACCGACGGGUGGAGCAGGUACGAAAGUAGGGCUUAGUGAUCCGGUGGUAUUAAGUGGGAAUGCCAUCGCUCAACGGAUAAAAGCUACCCUGGGAUAACAGGCUUAUCACUCCCAAGAGUUCACAUCGACGGAGUGGUUUGGCACCUCGAUGUCGGCUCAUCGCAUCCUGGGGCUGUAGUAGGUCCCAAGGGUUGGGCUGUUCGCCCAUUAAAGCGGUACGCGAGCUGGGUUCAGAACGUCGUGAGACAGUUCGGUCCCUAUCCGGCGUGGGCGUAGGAUAUCUGAGAGGAGCUGUCCUUAGUACGAGAGGACCGGGAUGGACGGACCGCUGGUGGACCGGUUGGCUUGCCAAAGCCAUGGCCGGGUAGCCAAGUCCGGAAGGGAUAAACGCUGAAGGCAUCUAAGCGUGAAGCCCCCCUCAAGAUGAGAUAUCCCAUUCUUUAAGAAGUAAACCCCCUUGAAGACGACGAGGUAGAUAGGGCAGAGGUGGAAGUGUGGUAACACAUGGAGCUGACUGUUACUAAUCGGGUGAGGGCUUGACC